CCUACGGGAGGCAGCAGUGGGGAAUCUUGGGCAAUGGAGGCAACUCUUACCCAGCAAUGCCGCGUGACUGAAGAAGGUCUUCGGAUUGUAAAGUUCUUUAAUUGGUGACGACAAAAAUGACGGUACCCUAGGAAUCAGCCCCGGCUAACUACGUGCCAGCAGCCGCCGUACUACGUAGGGCGCAAGCGUUGUUCGGACUAACUGGUCGUAAAGGGUGUGUAGGCGGGGUAGCAAAUUAGUAGUGAAAUACCUAGAGCGUAACUCAGGUGCUGCUUCUGAAACUGCUAUACUUGAGUGCAGUAGAGGAAAGUGGAAUUCCUAGGGUAGCGGUGGAAUGCGUAGAUAUUAGGAGGAACAUCAGUGGCGAAGGCGACUUUCUGGACUGUAACUGACGCUGAGGCACGAAAGUGUGGGGAGCAAACAGGAUUAGAUACCCCUGUAGUC
Molecule: ribosomal RNA, 444 nt
Filed under: uncultured bacterium
Lineage: Bacteria
Description: partial 16S ribosomal RNA
Rfam family: Bacterial small subunit ribosomal RNA
Source: RNAcentral